Molecule: unclassified non-coding RNA, 391 nt
Filed under: soil metagenome
Description: partial contains 5.8S ribosomal RNA, internal transcribed spacer 2, and large subunit ribosomal RNA
Rfam family: 5.8S ribosomal RNA (bases 1-122)
Source: RNAcentral
GAUGAAGAACGUAGCGAAAUGCGAUACUUGGUGUUAAUUGCAGAAUCCCGCGAAUCAUCGAGUUUUUGAACGCAAGUUGCGCCCGAAGCCAUUCGGCCGAGGGCACGUCUGCCUGGGUGUCACGCAUCGUUGCCCCCCCCAAACUCCGGUUCGGGCAGGGCGGAAGUUGGCCUCCCGUGCGUGCCUGCGCGCGCGGUUAGCCCAAAAGCGAGUCCUCGGCGACGAGCGCCACGACAAUCGGUGGUUUUUUUACCCUCGUUCCUCGUCGUGCGUGCCCCGUCGCCCGAACGCGCUCUUGUGACCCUCACGCGUCGCCUCGGCGGCGCUCCCAACGCGACCCCAGGUCAGGCGGGACUACCCGCUGAGUUUAAGCAUAUCAAUAAGCGGAGGA